UUGGUAGUCUUUAUUACUUGGAUAUCCGGGUAAUUCUAGAGCUAAUACAUGCCUCCAAACCCCACUUUUGCGAAGGGGUUGUGCUUUUUAAACACUGAACCAUCCCGGCUUGCCCGGUUUCGAGGUGAUUGAUGGAAAUCCAACGAAUCGCAUGCUUCGGCGGCGAUGAUUCAUUCAAGUUUCUGACCUAUCAACUUCCGACGGUAGGGUAUUGGCCUACCGUGGCUUUGACGGGUAACGGAAAAUUAGGGUUUGAUUCCGGAAAGGGAGCCUGAAAAACGGCUACCACAUCUAAGGAAGGCAGCAGGCGCGCAAAUUACCCCAUCCUGACCCAGGGAGGUAGUGACAAGAAAUAAAAAAAUGAGGCUCUUUUGUCUUGGUCUUGGAAUGAGCACAAUUCAAAUCCCCUGUUCCAGUAUCAAUUGGAGGGCAAGGCCUGGU
This 441-nucleotide ribosomal RNA is filed under the name uncultured marine eukaryote. RNAcentral describes it as "bacterial SSU rRNA". It matches the Rfam family "Eukaryotic small subunit ribosomal RNA", at positions 121 to 565 of the family's 1831-position model. The record is from RNAcentral.